GACAGAGGGUGCAAACGUUGCUCGGAAUUACUGGGCGUAAAGGGCGCGUAGGCGGCACUGUUAGUCAGGCGUGAAAGUCCUGGGCUCAACCUGGGAACUGCGCUUGAUACGGCAGAGCUAGAGGAUGGAAGAGGGUCGCGGAAUUCCCAGUGUAGAGGUGAAAUUCGUAGAUAUUGGGAAGAACACCGGUGGCGAAGGCGGCGACCUGGUCCAUUACUGACGCUGAGGCGCGACAGCGUGGGGAGCAAACAGG
Molecule: ribosomal RNA, 253 nt
Filed under: uncultured bacterium
Lineage: Bacteria
Description: partial 16S ribosomal RNA
Rfam family: Bacterial small subunit ribosomal RNA
Source: RNAcentral